This 4059-nucleotide long non-coding RNA is filed under the name Gallus gallus (chicken). RNAcentral describes it as "lncRNA (ENSGALG00010007220.1)". Lineage: Eukaryota; Metazoa; Chordata; Aves; Galliformes; Phasianidae. The record is from RNAcentral.
AAAAGCUUCACUGUGUAAGAAGUGUGAAAGACUUCUAGCAUGUAGCUCUGUUAAAGGCCUGGCUGAUAGCUCUGUACAGCAGAAAAUCUCUUCCACCAUCAUUCACUGAGGGCUUGGAUUUAUUGGGCAGCUGCUUGCUUUGCUUCUGUGGCAGAGGUGCUGUGUUUGACAACUCUUAGCCUCUGGAAGAUGUUUUUUUUUAAGGCAAUCUGUUCCUAUCCUUAAUUAGAAAAACAAUGGACAAAAAAGAGCCUGCACUGUGGUCACUUGGCUUUCUGCGUUUACAUUUCCAUUUAUUGUGUUCAUUAAGUGCAUGUAACAAGAAUCUCCACAGGCUUUGGUGUACAGAGGGUUACCAAAUUGUUUUUUGUAUGUGGACUUCCAAUUAAAAUUUCCAAUUUCCAGGUCCACUGCUUUGUCUCUACGAGCUCCAAAGAGAACCAAAAGCGGGGAGAAAUGGCUCCACAAAUUUCAGCCUCUGUACUUAUUACAAUCUGGUUAGGAGGCUCCUGCUAUUCACCGGCUUAGAAAACAAUUUGAAAUUCAAUUCUGGGUUACAGGCCCUUCCCUGGGGUACCUCAUGUUUGAGACACAAGAAGGGACAGCUCCGUUCAGCUUCCUGCCAUUGGAAGGGUGUCCGUGUGCUAUUUCUUCAGCAUUCAGGAGUUGAGAACUGCAGAGGAGCUGUGGCCAAACUCACUCCCAGGCAUCCCCAGCAAUUUUCAGCUUUCUUAGUAUUUUGAGCAUUUCCCCAUGUGAAGAAGGAAGAAAAGGACAAAUGGCUAAAAAGAAUUACUGAAUUGGUACUGAAGUGGUACUCAUGAACCAGGGUACAUCUUCAGGCAUUCUCUAAAGUCCAUGCAAAUAUUAAGGACUUGGUGUUAAUUAACCUACUCUCUGUUCAUCUUCACAGCUUGUGCACACUUAGAGGCCAAGUUCAAAGUCAAGUAGCUAAAUGGUCCUAAGGAAAGUGUCCCAUGUGAUGCCUCAGAGGUCUAGUGCUCAUUCCCAUUAAAGCCAUUUUGGUACUUUCACACGCCUUUGAUAAUGAACAAGAUUCAAAACAUCUUCGCUUUUCUCACUGGUGGCACGGUUUCAAGGAUGACAUGGGCAGCUUCCUAUUUAUGGAGUUCAUUUUACAGGCUUCUUUAUCAACUCCAUUAAUAUUUAUGUAAACUCAAAUUGCUUUCAAUGUCAUUAUCACAACAUAUCAUUUUGCUUCAUUGCAUGUAUUGUAACUCCAAAAGAUAGUUUGACAAGGUUAGGCCCUUACAUAUGCUUAAUGAUGUGUACCUGAUUUUAGCAUUUGCUUAGAUGUGUAUCGGUAUUUGUAUUUUGUAUGCUCCUCUUGGCGCUAUAGGAGUCCUAUAUGAUGAGCUGCAGAAGCUACUGAAGGAAAGGAUGAAUCGAGACAAUUUGCAGAAGUGGAGGCCAUCCAGCUCUACCUCUACACUGACUCUUGAAUGGUGGCAAAUGCCCUGUGGGAAUGGUUACAGCAAUGGAAGCAGAACAGCUGGCAGUACAGAGGAAAACUCAUCUGGGUCACUGCAUUGUGGAAAGGUAUUGCUGCCCAGGUAGAGAACAUGAUUGUGAAGGUACGUCAUCUAGAUGCUCACAUACCCAAGAGUCUGACUGAAGAACCUCAAAACAAUCAGCAGGUGAAAUAGGCUGCUAGGAUUCAAGUGGCUCAGGUAGACUUGGACUGGCAACAUAAGAGUGAACUAUUUUUAUCUCAGUGGGCCCAUGACACUUCCAGCCACCAAGGAAGAGAUGCAACAUAUGGAUGGACUCAGGAUCAAGGGGUGGACUUGACUAUGGAUGGUAUUGCACAGCUUAGCCAUGAAUGUGAAACAUACUCUAAUUAAGCAAGCCAAGCAGAUAAAACCUCUUUGUCAUGGAGAAAGAUGGCCACAAUAUUAAUACAGGGAGGCCUGGCAGGUGGGUUACAUCACUCUCCCAUAAACUUGCCAUGUCAGUUACCAUUUGUUUACAAUGGUGGAAGCAACCACCAGAUGGCUGGAAACAUAUCCCAUGCCCCAUGCCACAGCACAAAAUACUACCCUGGGUCUUGAAAAGCAAGUCGUGUGGUGACAUGGCACUCCAGAAAGAAUUGAGUCAGACAGCAGGACUCAUUUGCAAAAAAAAAAAAAAAAAAAACCACAAAAAACAAAACAAAACAAAAAAAAACCUCAUAGACACCUGGGCCAAGGAGAAUGGUAUUGAGUGGAUAUAUUACAUCCCCUAUCAGACAUCAGCCUCUGGAAAAAUUAAAUGAUAAAAUGGACCGUUAAAGGCUACAUUGAGAGCAAUAGGUGCUGGGACAUUCAAACAUUGAUAUACACAUUUAACGAAAGUCGCCUGGUUCGUCAGUACUUGGUGAUCUGCCAGUCAAGCUGGUCCUGGCCAAUCAAAACUCCUGCAGACCACAGAAGGGGAUAAAGUCCCCAUGGUGCAUAUAAGGAACAUUCUGGGCACAACAGGCUGAGUUAUUCCUGCCGUGGGCAAAGGCAAACUUGCUUGUGGGCUUGCUUUUGCUCAAGGACUUGGGUACAUGCGGUGGGUAACAUGGAAUGAUGGGGAUGUCUGGUGUGUACCUCAAGGUGAUCUGAUGCUGGGUAAGAACAGCCAAUAAUUCUAUGAUGUUAAAUUAUUACAUAAUACUGCGUGUCAUCUUUAUUAUGGUCAUUAUAUGUCUUGUUAACAGUAGUAGAGUAAGAACUACCCUGGUUAAAGAAUGAACUCAGAUGGAACCAGAGUUUGUUUCUGCAUGCAGUAAUCCAAAACUGUGAAUCUUUCCUCCUACACAGAAGGACAGAUAAAGAUAAGGCCCGAAGUUAUGAAAUGAAUGAAUAUCGUGGGCAAUUUACAUGAAGGGCCUAUAGACUACGGGGAAAAGAUGUAUAUAUAUAUAUAUCAAAAAGCAAGAUAGGUGAUAGUAAUGAGAGCAGUUAGGAUGUGUAGUAAUUGUAGUGCCAGAGCAUGAUGGAAAUGGUAUGGAAUUAAGGGUAUGUACCGUCUUAGUUUCAGCUGGGAUAAAAUUUCUUUCUUCAGAGUGUCAGGUGUGAUACCAUGUUUUGGUUCUAGGAGAAAAACAAUGUUGACAACACACCCAUGUUUAUAGCUGCUGCUAAGCAGUGUUGUACAGAGUCAACAUCAUUCUCAGUGAAGGACCCAAGAAGCUGGGAGGGAACAGAAUUAGGACGGCUGACUUAAACUGGCCAAAGUGAUAUUCCAUGUCGUAUGACAUCAUACGGGAGGAGUUUUGAAGGGGGUGGGAGCUCAUCUCUUGCUUUUGCACUACUCAGGAGGCUAUCUGGGCAUCAGCUGGGAGAUGUAGAGCAAUUGCUUGUGCACCGCUUGUUAUAUACAUUUAUAUGUAUAUAUGUUUGUAAUAUUUUUCCUUUUCUCUAUCUUAGUAAACAGUUUUAUCUCAAACCAUGAAUUCUACUUUCUUUUUUUCCCAAUUCUUUCCCCCAUUUCCUUGGGAAGGGAGGAAGUGAGUAAACAACUGUAUGGUGCUCAGAUGCCUAUCAGGAUAAAACACAUUGGGCUUUAGUAGAAAAUGCUAUAAGAUAUCCACCUUAAUCAUUGUUGAAAUAUCUUUCAAAUGCAGUCUCCCACACUGCAUGCUACAUCAUUAGCAAACAAGGUGAAAAUGCACAAUGUCUGAGUAGUUCACAAGUCCAAGCUCACACAGAUCUUCACAGCUAUCUGUUGAGCCAACUUGUUUAAUUAUGGCUGAUGGCAUUAAUUUGGGAAUUUUUAUGUCUAGUGUUUUUGCUGGAAUUGUCAUACACCUCUGGUUACUUGGAAUUUUCAAAGUUCAUUUUCCCAUUUAAACCUUGACAAUGACCUAUAGCACUCUUCUGUUCUGUUAUAUAGUUCUGUUCCAAUAGCCAUGUCUGUGAUAUCUCACUCAUAAACCACAACACCACAUUAAUUAUAUGAAUAUCUAGUACUGUCAGGCUUUGUACCACACAAUUACAGGCAAGCUGAGAUAAGUUUUAAGAACUUGAGCUGUGAUUUGAAUUGCUGUUCUUUCAGUUUGAUACUUGCAAC